This 464-nucleotide ribosomal RNA is filed under the name uncultured bacterium. RNAcentral describes it as "partial 16S ribosomal RNA". It matches the Rfam family "Bacterial small subunit ribosomal RNA", at positions 339 to 795 of the family's 1533-position model. The record is from RNAcentral.
CUACGGGUUGCAGCAGUGGGGAAUAUUGCACAAUGGGCGCAAGCCUGAUGCAGCCAUGCCGCGUGUAUGAAGAAGGCCUUCGGGUUGUAAAGUACUUUCAGCGGGGAGGAAGGGAGUAAAGUUAAUACCUUUGCUCAUUGACGUUACCCGCAGAAGAAGCACCGGCUAACUCCGUGCCAGCAGCCGCGGUAAUACGGAGGGUGCAAGCGUUAAUUGGAAUUACUGGGCGUAAAGCGCACGCAGGCGGUUUGUUAAGUCAGAUGUGAAAUCCCCGGGCUCAACCUGGGAACUGCAUCUGAUACUGGCAAGCGUGAGUCUCGUAGAGGGGGGUAGAAUUCCAGGUGUAGCGGUGAAAUGCGUAGAGAUCUGGAGGAAUACCGGUGGCGAAGGCGGCCCCUUGGACGAAGACUGACGCUCAGGUGCGAAAGCGUGGGGAGCAAACAGGAUUAGAUACCCGCGUAGUC